CACGUAGGGGCGAGCGUUGUCCGGAAUUACUGGGUGUAAAGGGAGCGCAGACGGAACUGCAAGUCUGAUGUGAAAGCCCGGGGCUCAACCGCGGGACUGCAUUGGAAACUGUAGAUCUGGAGUGCCGGAGGGGCAAGCGGAAUUCCUGGUGUAGCGGUGAAAUGCGUAGAUAUCAGGAGGAACACCGGCGGCGAAGGCGGCUUGCUGGACGGCAACUGACGUUGAGGCUCGAAAGCGUGGGGAGCAAACAGGAUUAGAUACCCCCGUAGU
Molecule: ribosomal RNA, 270 nt
Filed under: uncultured prokaryote
Description: partial 16S ribosomal RNA
Rfam family: Bacterial small subunit ribosomal RNA
Source: RNAcentral